GCCCGGGUAGCUCAACUGGUAGAGCAGCAGACUUUUAAUCUGACGGUUCGGGGUUCAAGUCCCUGGUCGGGCA
Non-coding RNA from Strigops habroptila (Kakapo), 73 nucleotides. NCBI's taxonomy places the organism in Eukaryota, Metazoa, Chordata, Aves, Psittaciformes, Psittacidae. The record is from the annotation of a RefSeq genome assembly.